CCUACGGGGGGCAGCAGUGAGGAAUAUUGGUCAAUGGACGAGAGUCUGAACCAGCCAAGUAGCGUGAAGGAUGAAUGCCCUAUGGGUUGUAAACUUCGUUUAUAUGGGAAUAAAAUGUUCCACGUGUGGGGUUUUGUAUGUACCAUAUGAAUAAGGAUCGGCUAACUCCGUGCCAGCAGCCGCGGUAAUACGGAGGAUCCGAGCGUUAUACGGAUUUAUUGGGUUUAAAGGGAGCGUAGGUGGGUUGUUAAGUCAGUUGUGAAAGUUUGCGGCUCAACCGUAAAAUUGCAGUUGAAACUGGCAGUCUUGAGUACAGUAGAGGUGGGCGGAAUUCGUGGUGUAGCGGUGAAAUGCUUAGAUAUCACGAAGAACUCCGAUUGCGAAGGCAGCUAACUGGACUGCAACUGACACUGAGGCUCGAAAGUGUGGGUAUCAAACAGGAUUAGAUACCCCGGUAGUC
This 460-nucleotide ribosomal RNA is filed under the name uncultured bacterium. Its description in RNAcentral is "partial 16S ribosomal RNA". It matches the Rfam family "Bacterial small subunit ribosomal RNA", at positions 338 to 795 of the family's 1533-position model. The record is from RNAcentral.